UACACUGUUACAUUGAGUCUUCUUCUCCUCCUUACUUGAUACUAACUUGAGCGUUGGAGUGCUAAUGCCGGCAUCAACACCGGUGUGUUUUGCAGGGAACAGGAAGAAGAACUAGGUGAGCAUCCAGUCUUGACAGACUUCAUGGUGUAAGCUGCAGAACAGACUUACAUAUUGGCGCCCACCGUGGAUUUCCACAAACUCGAGCCAUCUAGUUCUUUAUUUUGUAGAUCUACAUGUUUUAGAUCUAUUCAUUUUAGUUCAUUUAGUUUUAAAUCUACAUGUAGAAAUACCUAUCUACAUGUUCAUUUCAUUUUGGUUUAUUUCGUUUUGGAUCUGUUCACUUCAUUUUGUUUCGUUUUAGAUCUGUUCAUGCUUUCUUUCAAUUGUUUUACUAUAACCAGAUCUGUGUUUUCACAGUUUUCUUGCUUGUUAUUUGUUUUGUUUCCUUUUCUGUUGUGGUAGAAUGGCAGCAAGUAGACCCAACAGAGCUCAGAUCGAAGCAGCAAAUGAAGUUUUGCAAAAUUAGUUACGCGAUGCUCAGGAGAGAGAGGAGGCACUCCAAACAGAAAUCAAUCAACUCAGAGAGCAGGAAGCGGCUAGAGCAGCCCAAACAGCUCUAAAUUAACCAGUUCAACAACCUGACAACCAGGAGAACCCUCUAGCCCAAGAGCACCAACAUGAGGGUCAAGCAGACGAACUUCCACAACCCCCACCACUUAGCCAUCAGCAGAAUCAGCAAGGCAUGCAGCCUAGGGUUCCACGCCAGCAAAACCAAGUAGAUCCAGUUGACGGUGAGGAAUCUCUCGUCGUUAACACCGAGAACGAGACAGAAGGAGAGAAUGACAAUCUAGCUCAGGGCAACACAACUCUUUUAUUGGAACCCUUUUGUAUUUAAAUUGAUAUCCGAGAG
Molecule: long non-coding RNA, 910 nt
Filed under: Aquilegia coerulea
Lineage: Eukaryota; Viridiplantae; Streptophyta; Magnoliopsida; Ranunculales; Ranunculaceae
Description: long non-coding RNA (ACOE_LNC001549)
Source: RNAcentral